GUUGAAACAUUGGUUCCCAUAUGAUCACCAAAGUUAAACAACAUCAAACUUGGUCAGUACCUAGAUGUGUGGCUGCUUGGGAAUACUAGGUGCUGUAAG
RNAcentral lists this ribosomal RNA (99 nucleotides) under Acanthosepion pharaonis. The record is from RNAcentral. Lineage: Eukaryota; Metazoa; Mollusca; Cephalopoda; Sepiida; Sepiidae.